Molecule: long non-coding RNA, 1365 nt
Organism: Tupaia belangeri chinensis (Chinese tree shrew)
Lineage: Eukaryota; Metazoa; Chordata; Mammalia; Scandentia; Tupaiidae
Exons: 5
Source: RefSeq, a predicted model, not a curated record
UCUGAGUCAGAGGACUAAAGUCUGCUGCUCAGUUUCACAGCCAGCAGGGUUGCAGUCUCUGCCCUCCUUCCUCCGCCUUCCCUGGAGGGCUGGCCAGGAGGGCAACAUGGCGCCCACAUUAGUUUCCUAGGGCUGCCCUAACCAAAUGCCACAAACUAAGAUGCUUUACAUAGCACAAAUGUUUUGUCUUACAGUUCUGGAAGCUGGAAGUCCUAAAGCAGGGUGUCGGCGGGUGCCACGCUCCCUCUCAAACCUGCAGGGGAGAAUCCUUUCCUGUCUGCUCCUAGCGCUGGCAGCCCUGAGCACUCCUUGGUUUAUGGCUGCUUCAUGCCAUCUCUGCCUUUGUCCUCAUGUGACAUUCUCCCUGUGCGUCUUCCGGCUGCGCAUGUUCGUCGAAAUUUCCCUCUUCUGAUAAGGACACCAAUUAUAUGGAAUUAGGGGCCCACGCUAUCACAACGUGACUUCAUCUUACCUAAUUACAUCUGUGGUGACUCUAUUUCCAAAUAGGGUCACAUUCAAAGACGCUGAUGGGCGUGCUUCAAACCAAGGUCUCAAUGAGUAUUUGCUGGGUAAAGGAACACGUGCAUGUAUCAGCUCUUCAGAUUGGCUCAGAAGUAAGGCAGAACUAAAGCUACAGAAUUAGACCCUGCAGUUGAGAGAGGGUUCACGGACCGACACAUCCAUGCUGUCUCUCCUGGGCAUGAGGGCUGUGGUUUUUACUGAACUUGAAGAAACGGGAUAUAGAGGGGAUGAAAAAACUCACGCGCUCCUAGCAGCCCAAAGAGACGAGGAGGUGGGAAAGGAGUGGGACAUGUAUUCAGACCAGCACACACUAUCUAAUGAAAGAAAUGCCUGACAUUCUCAACGGCAAAUAAAUCCGGAAGCCCUGGGACUGGAGAAGACCUAGGAAGUCAGCUCAUCCGUCUUCACACCUCCAGGCAGUUCUGUAAGGAAAACCAUCCCUGAAAGCAACCAUCUGGCUUUUUCUCUGACUCUUCUCUAAGGAAGCACCUUCCCAGACUCCUUUGAUAAGCCAUUUUGGUGCCCUAGUGGAAAAUAAUAAAGUUAUUGCUACAGCAGUGCAGUUAGGGUUAUGGAAUUGGAGCCCAGACGCACGACUCUGGAGUCACUGCAUCCCCCCUGCCCACCCUGAUGCACUUCAUGUUAAUACACCACCGAUGUCUACAUUCUAUAGUAUUCCAGGCCUUUGACGCUUUCAUCUUGCGGAUACCCCAGACUUUUGCAAGGAUUCUCUCUAAAAUCAUUUUAAUCCGAUGAUAAGUACGGUUAACCUAGAGGAUAGACAUCCAGGCUAUGGAGUUUAGAUUUGAGUCCUGACUUCAAAAUGCAUGAGAAGUGUGAUUU